CCUGUUUGCACCCAUGGGACUCUGCUAUCCUCCCUUCUUCCCCCAGCUCUGCAGGAAAUGUUUCAUUUCAGUCUCUCCCUGCUUAUGGAAAUAGGAAAAGAGCUUGUCUGUGAGCAGACCCUAUAUGCUACUGAAGAUGUUGAAGUUUUCUCGAAGAGUGAAAAUGGAAAACAUGACAGUCUUUGUAACUUCAGUUAAUCUCAUUCAAGAUGGAGCUAUCCUUCUAUCAUGAAGUACUGAUAUGGUUGGGAAUUAAGUUGAAUGUUUCCAGAGAUGUCCAACCCAUGAGAUACAUGUGGCCUGACCCGGCCCAUCCCGCUGCCGCCUUCUGCCCUGCACCAUCAUGGUGCUGGCUCUGCCCACCAAGCAACCUGUCCCCAGCCCUGGGCACAUAUACAUCACUCAGAAGCAACCACACAAUGGUGUGCAAUCAGCACUCUCAGGGCUGAAGCAGAGGGACAGGGCACGGUGCAGUACAACUACAGGAAGAGUAAAAUUUCAUCAAAAAUCUCUGACAAAUACUUUGAGAGCUCACUGAGAAUGGCAACCCCUGCCAUGGAACCAGGCUGAUGCACUAGUUUCACACACACACACAAAUAAAGGUCAAACGUCCUACUAACUUUAUGGUUUU
RNAcentral lists this long non-coding RNA (631 nucleotides) under Coturnix japonica (Japanese quail). Its description in RNAcentral is "lncRNA (ENSCJPG00005017174.1)". Lineage: Eukaryota; Metazoa; Chordata; Aves; Galliformes; Phasianidae. The record is from RNAcentral.